RNAcentral lists this unclassified non-coding RNA (330 nucleotides) under soil metagenome. RNAcentral describes it as "partial contains 5.8S ribosomal RNA, internal transcribed spacer 2, and large subunit ribosomal RNA". The stretch from base 1 to 120 matches the Rfam family "5.8S ribosomal RNA", at positions 35 to 154 of the family's 154-position model. The record is from RNAcentral.
GAUGAAGAACGUAGCGAAAUGCGAUACGUAAUGUGAAUUGCAGAAUUCAGUGAAUCAUCGAGUCUUUGAACGCACAUUGCGCCCCCUGGUAUUCCGGGGGGCAUGCCUGUUCGAGCGUCAUUUCACCACUCAAGCCUCGCUUGGUAUUGGGCAACGCGGUCCGCCGCGUGCCUCAAAUCGACCGGCUGGGUCUUCUGUCCCCUAAGCGUUGUGGAAACUUUCGCUAAAGGGUGUUCGGGAGGCUACGCCGUAAAACAACCCCAUUUCUAAGGUUGACCUCGGAUCAGGUAGGGAUACCCGCUGAACUUAAGCAUAUCAAUAAGCGGAGGA